RNAcentral lists this unclassified non-coding RNA (330 nucleotides) under soil metagenome. Its description in RNAcentral is "partial contains 5.8S ribosomal RNA, internal transcribed spacer 2, and large subunit ribosomal RNA". The stretch from base 4 to 118 matches the Rfam family "5.8S ribosomal RNA", at positions 40 to 154 of the family's 154-position model. The record is from RNAcentral.
GAUAGAACGUAGCAAAAUGCGAUAAGUAAUGUGAAUUGCAGAAUUCAGUGAAUCAUCGAAUCUUUGAACGCACAUUGCGCCCGCCAGUAUUCUGGCGGGCAUGCCUGUUCGAGCGUCAUUUCAACCCUCAAGCACAGCUUGGUGUUGGGACUCGCGUUAAUUCGCGUUCCCCAAAUUGAUUGGCGGUCACGUCGAGCUUCCAUAGCGUAGUAGUAAAACCCUCGUUACUGGUAAUCGUCGCGGCCACGCCGUUAAACCCCAACUUCUGAAUGUUGACCUCGGAUCAGGUAGGAAUACCCGCUGAACUUAAGCAUAUCAAUAAGCGGAGGA